AUCCAGUUGACGAGUCCCAAAUAGGACGAAACCCACAUCCCGGAU
RNAcentral lists this non-coding RNA (45 nucleotides) under Trichobilharzia regenti. The record is from RNAcentral. Lineage: Eukaryota; Metazoa; Platyhelminthes; Trematoda; Strigeidida; Schistosomatidae.